RNAcentral lists this ribosomal RNA (404 nucleotides) under uncultured bacterium. RNAcentral's name for it is "bacterial SSU rRNA". It matches the Rfam family "Bacterial small subunit ribosomal RNA", at positions 355 to 776 of the family's 1533-position model. The record is from RNAcentral.
UGGGGAAUAUUGCGCAAUGGAGGAAACUCUGACGCAGCAACGCCGCGUGGGUGAUGAAGGCCUUCGGGUCGUAAAGCCCUGUUGGGUGGGAAGAAUUUGACGGUACCACCUGAGGAAGCACCGGCUAACUCCGUGCCAGCAGCCGCGGUAAUACGGAGGGUGCAAACGUUGUUCGGAAUCAUUGGGCGUAAAGCGCGCGUAGGCGGCCAGUUAGGUCGGGUGUGAAAUCCCGGGGCUCAACCUCGGAACUGCGCUCGAAACCGGCUGGCUUGAGUCCCAGAGGGAGAAGUGGAAUUCCUGGUGUAGGGGUGAAAUCCGUAGAUAUCAGGAGGAACACCAGUGGCGAAGGCGACUUCUUGGCUGAGGACUGACGCUGAGGUGCGAAAGCGUGGGUAGCAAACAGG